GAGUUUGAUCAUGGCUCAGAUUGAACGCUGGCGGCAUGCCUUACACAUGCAAGUCGAACGGCAGCACGGGAGCUUGCUCCUGGUGGCGAGUGGCGAACGGGUGAGUAAUGCAUCGGAACGUAUCCUGGAGUGGGGGAUAACGUAGCGAAAGUUACGCUAAUACCGCAUAUUCUGUGAGCAGGAAAGCGGGGGACCUUCGGGCCUCGCGCUCUUGGAGCGGCCGAUGUCGGAUUAGCUAGUUGGUGAGGUAAAGGCUCACCAAGGCGACGAUCCGUAGCAGGUCUGAGAGGAUGAUCUGCCACACUGGAACUGAGACACGGUCCAGACUCCUACGGGAGGCAGCAGUGGGGAAUUUUGGACAAUGGGGGCAACCCUGAUCCAGCCAUGCCGCGUGAGUGAAGAAGGCCUCGGUUGUAA
This 417-nucleotide ribosomal RNA is filed under the name bacterium enrichment culture clone ALO1_GLFRUDD03F80NX. RNAcentral's name for it is "bacterial SSU rRNA". It matches the Rfam family "Bacterial small subunit ribosomal RNA", at positions 9 to 428 of the family's 1533-position model. RNAcentral also lists the same sequence under 7 other names. The record is from RNAcentral.